Nymphalis io (European peacock) is the source of this 69-nucleotide non-coding RNA. The record is from the annotation of a RefSeq genome assembly. NCBI's taxonomy places the organism in Eukaryota, Metazoa, Arthropoda, Insecta, Lepidoptera, Nymphalidae.
AGCCUAUUAGCUCAGUGGUCAGAGCGUUACUAGUAGUAAAGGUCGCAGGUUCGAACCCUGUAUAGGCUU